RNAcentral lists this ribosomal RNA (274 nucleotides) under uncultured bacterium. Its description in RNAcentral is "partial 16S ribosomal RNA". It matches the Rfam family "Bacterial small subunit ribosomal RNA", at positions 523 to 796 of the family's 1533-position model. The record is from RNAcentral.
AUACGGAGGGGGCAAGCGUUGUUCGGAAUUACUGGGCGUAAAGGGCGCGUAGGCGGACGAUUAAGUUAGAGGUGAAAGCCCUGGGCUCAACCUGGGAACUGCCUUUGAAACUGAUAGUCUAGAGUCCGAGAGAGGAUGGCGGAAUUCCCAGUGUAGAAGUUAAAUACGUAGAUAUUGGGAAGAACACCAGUGGCGAAGGCGGCCAUCUGGCUCGGUACUGACGCUGAGGCGCGAAAGCGUGGGGAGCAAACAGGAUUAGAUACCCGAGUAGUCC